CAGCCCCUCUCCUCUCCAGGCAGCUGGGCUUUGAGCCAGCCAGCCAAGUGGCAGCUGGGACUCAGAUGAAAGGGUCCUUAGAUGGUUGUCUGUGGCCAAGUGCCCAGCCCAGCACAGCCCAGGCCUGGCAGCUCUGGGCCCAGCUGUCCCACAAGGCAGCCUGCCACUGGUCCCACACAAGGCUCCCUUUGUGGGACCCACCGCAGGGGAGACCCCUGCCAACCCACAAGGACCCUCUUCCCUUCUCUUUGCUUCCCACCGGCUUGAGAAAGAUUCAAAUCCUUAGAGAAUGGUCCAGGGUUGGGCCCAGCUGGCCUGACUCUGGGCCAGGCACCUUGGAGAGCUUUGUCCCAUUUAAUCUUCCAGAACAGCACUGGUAGCAGGUAGUGUUAUUCCCUUUUAGAGAGGAAGGACGUAGAGACCCGAGGGCCUACCAUGUGUCGAUCACAGUGCCAGGCCCUGGGAAGAGAGUAGUGAACCAGAGGACAAGAGCCAAGAGCAGGGAGUGCACUGUCAGCCAGACACGGACUGAUCAAUAACCACACACACUUACCUCAUCCUUCCUUGGUCUGCACUCUGGAUGCUGAUCUUCAGGGUUCACAUCCAUAGGCUCUCAUCCCUCUGGAUCCCAUGCGUGUUCGUCCCGCGGGAGGCCUAGCGGGACAUCAGAAGGUGCUCACAAUGGGCGAAGAGAAGGGACUGAUCCGUGGAAUUCAUGUGAAUCAUUCCUGGACAAACAGAAACUUCAGGGAGCAAACAGCUCCGCUUUGGCCACUUCCCUGGGACCAGCCACUCCCUGACCCUCUUGGGCACACAGCCUGCCAAUCCAGCCAGCAAACCAUCCACUCCCCUGUUUGCCUCCUGCGCUCAGCCCGGCCCUAUCAGCACUGCAACAAGCAUCCUUUACAUCUAAGAACUGUGCAAGGAAUAUGCACUUUUUGAGGAUCUUUGUUGCCAACUGAUUAGGGAGGCUGUGCCCACCAUCCAGGCACACACCGUGUGGUUGCCUCAGAGUAUGUUUUUGCCCCAAGUUCAGAGUCAACCCCGCAGACCCCAAAGCUAAGCAUGCGAGUGGCUUUGCAGGUAGGGCCUGACCCUCAGGUAGGUCCCCUCCGCUGCCCGUGGCUUCCUGGGAUCCAGAGCAGAAGCACUGAUUUUUUUCUGGAUUGGUUGGACAUACCAGUUAAAGAGCUCACACACCACCCCUCUCCUGCUCCACAUUCUCUUUUCUUUCCCCUGCUUCUCCUCCUUCUAGCUUUCCCUUCCUUUUCCAUCUCUCCUUCCUUUUGUUUGCUCCUUCUCCCUCCAGCCUCCACUCUGUGUCUCCCUCUGACUUGGGGCUUCUUUCUCUCCGUCUCUUUUCUCUCUGCUUCCUCUGCCUCUCUACAGUUUUCCCUCACCUUUUCAUCUUCCUCCUGGAACUCAGCCUUGUCUCUGUCUCUUUUCUCUUUCCUCUCCGUGGCUCUCUGUCCUCCACCCACCACUCCUGCUGGCUGAGUCAUAAUUUCCCCUGCGGUGGGUGGGGGGGAUAAAGCAGCCUUUUCCCUGAUAGGUCUUGAUGUGAAGGAGCAGUGAGUUUGCCUCCCACAAGGGCAAAGCUAACCGAUCCCUGAGUGGGGAGCUGCCUGGUAAACCAGUGUGACUCAGGACUUCCAGGUUGGGAGAGGGGCUGUCCAUCAGUCAAGCUUCCCUUGGACGCUUUGGCAUCAUGGGGGCCAGCAUGCUGUGUCUGAUGACUCACUGGGACAGCCUUGGCAUGGUGGCAGCGGGAUGUGGGGAGGGGUGCUGGAGUUUAUGAUGUUGCCCCUGGGAGGACACCCCCUCUCUGCCAGGCAGCCCAGGGAUGGAUGCUGGGGCCCUACAAUCAUGUUCAUCAUUGCAUGGCUUCACAUCAUAAUGGUCAGAUAGGAUAUUUAUAACAACUCAGGUUGCUGGGCCCUAAUUCAUCUUUAUUAAACCAGAAUAACUAAGGAUAGGAGUCAGGAAUCUUCAUGUUAAAGAUACUUGAUGCAAAAGCUGGUAGGUGUCUAUUAGAUUUGUAAAUGCACACACCCUAUAUUCCAGCAGCCACUCCUGGGACUUUCUUCUAACAAAAUAUUCCCGCAUGUAUUGUGCACGAGGAUUUUUUUUUUUCAGCAUUGUUUGUAUUAUCAAACAAUUGGGAACACCCUGAAUGUAAUGUCCAUUAGUCGACAAUGGUUAAAUAAAAGAUGAUGUCUCGGGGCGCCUGGGUGGCUCAGUGGGUUAAGCUGCU
Mustela erminea (ermine) is the source of this 2254-nucleotide long non-coding RNA. RefSeq lists it as uncharacterized. The record is from RefSeq and is a predicted model, not a curated record. The transcript has 4 exons. NCBI's taxonomy places the organism in Eukaryota, Metazoa, Chordata, Mammalia, Carnivora, Mustelidae.